GCCUGAGAGAUGGCUACCACUUCUAAGGAAGGCAGCAGGCGCGCAAAUUACCCCAAUCUCAAUUCGAGGAGGUAGUGACGAGAAAUAACAAUACAAAUCCCAAUAUGGGCUUUGUAAUUGGAAUGAGUACAAUACAAAUCCCUUAAUGAGUAACAAUUGGAGGGCAAGUCUGGUGCCAGCAGCCGCGGUAAUUCCAGCUCCAAUAGCAUAUAUUAAAUUUGUUGCAGUUAAAAAGCUCGUAGUUGAAUUUCGGAACUGGGAAUGAUUGGUCGGGCCUUGAUGGUUUGUACUGUCAUUCCCGUUCUCAUUUGAUGGAUACUUAUCUCUACUCUUAACUGAGCGGAGAGUAGUCAGUGAUGGUUAUUUAAUUAAAUUAUAAAUAUUUUUAAUAUUUAUAAUUUAAUUAUUAAUCCUCUCACUACUACUUUUGUAGGUUCCAUCUC
This 443-nucleotide ribosomal RNA is filed under the name uncultured eukaryote. RNAcentral's name for it is "bacterial SSU rRNA". It matches the Rfam family "Eukaryotic small subunit ribosomal RNA", at positions 394 to 857 of the family's 1831-position model. The record is from RNAcentral.